This is a long non-coding RNA of Rhipicephalus sanguineus (brown dog tick), 267 nucleotides long. RefSeq lists it as uncharacterized. Lineage: Eukaryota; Metazoa; Arthropoda; Arachnida; Ixodida; Ixodidae. The transcript has 3 exons. The record is from RefSeq and is a predicted model, not a curated record.
CGUUAACAAGACAACAGUGCUAACUACUACGUAUAAUUAUAACACCAGCAAUGCAGUUGCAUACCAGCUGAAGAAUUGCUCAUUUGUCGAUGAUACAGUUAUCUUCACUAACAAUAGAAGCUGCACACUAAUGAGCGUGCCAUCUCAAAAUAAUUGCAAAGGGUGCGAACUUUGGGCUAGUGAGGAGCACGUGAGAAACCGCACGGUGCCCCGGUGUUGUUACUUCUUGUAUGAUCUACUCUGCGAAAAUGAAGGCUACUAUUAUGA